ACAGAAUUACCAUCUGAAAUGAAAACAGCUAAACUAGUUUAUAAUUAAACUAAACGAAAAAAUUAAUUUUAAUUUUUUUAAUUAAUUAAUUUUAUAAUUUUGAAAAUCAAGGACGAAACUCUAUCGACCUCAUUUAAAAAUCAUGGGAAGAAAAUUAAGUACUGCAUUGUCUGAUGGAGUAUUGGCAAUUUCUUCAUUGCUAGCUGCUUGGAGAUUACAUCAGUCAUCUGCAAAUUGGCAUCUUCAUUUUCUAGCUUCAACUUUAAUGCUGGAAGAAACACCAUUAUUUGGUAUAAGCUGCUUCUUGCUUGUUGCACUUGCUUCUUCUUUGGGAACAGUUCGAUUCAGUAAGUACUUAAAUUAAUAUAGACAUAGUUCAUCUUUCUAUAAAAUAUUGAUUCACUUCGGC
Molecule: long non-coding RNA, 409 nt
Filed under: Androctonus crassicauda
Lineage: Eukaryota; Metazoa; Arthropoda; Arachnida; Scorpiones; Buthidae
Source: RNAcentral